AGCGAACAAGUACCGUGAGGGAAAGUUGAAAAGUACUCUGAAUAGAGAGUUAAAUAGUACGUGAAACCGCUUAGGGGUUAAGCCCGAUGAACCUGAAUAUCUGAUGUGAGAAAUUCAAUACGAUUCAAAUUCAUUUUUUAUAUUGGAUUUGUAUAGUAUGCACUUUUCUCAUAGUAAGACAUUGUAAUCCAUUGAUAUUAUAUCUCAUAUGAGAUGAUUUAACAUACGGACAAAAUGUUUAUGAUUAUUCUAUCAGUGAUAUGUUUACAUAUCAUAUGGAUAAAAUCGUUUUGUUUCCUGUUUAAAUAGUCGAUGGAUUUUUCAUUGAAAUCAUGCUUGCAAUUUAUUUUGCGUUUCGUAUUAUUAAUUUUUAAUUGGUGAUAGCAGAAAUGGCAUGUAUUCGAUUAACAAUGCGAUAGAUUUGGGAUACUUUCAGGACCCGUCUUGA
RNAcentral lists this ribosomal RNA (448 nucleotides) under Rhopalomyia ptarmicae. Its description in RNAcentral is "partial large subunit ribosomal RNA". It matches the Rfam family "Eukaryotic large subunit ribosomal RNA", at positions 339 to 657 of the family's 3401-position model. The record is from RNAcentral. Lineage: Eukaryota; Metazoa; Arthropoda; Insecta; Diptera; Cecidomyiidae.